Molecule: transfer RNA, 71 nt
Filed under: Sphaerodactylus townsendi
Lineage: Eukaryota; Metazoa; Chordata; Lepidosauria; Squamata; Sphaerodactylidae
Description: tRNA-Ser
Source: RNAcentral
GGGCCUUGGUUCAGUGGUAGAAUAUUUGCUUGGAAUCCAGAAGGUCCCAGAUUAAAUCCCCAGCAUCUCCA